UCAUAUAGCCCAUUACCUGUUUCUCUGUGU
This 30-nucleotide non-coding RNA is filed under the name Mus musculus (house mouse). Lineage: Eukaryota; Metazoa; Chordata; Mammalia; Rodentia; Muridae. The record is from RNAcentral.